Molecule: ribosomal RNA, 402 nt
Filed under: uncultured bacterium
Lineage: Bacteria
Description: bacterial SSU rRNA
Rfam family: Bacterial small subunit ribosomal RNA
Source: RNAcentral
UGGGGAAUAUUGCGCAAUGGGGGAAACCCUGACGCAGCAACGCCGCGUGAAUGAUGAAGGCCUUAGGGUUGUAAAGUUCUGUCUUCUGGGACGAUAAUGACGGUACCAGAGGAGGAAGCCACGGCUAACUACGUGCCAGCAGCCGCGGUAAUACGUAGGUGGCAAGCGUUGUCCGGAUUUACUGGGCGUAAAGGAUGCGUAGGCGGAUAUUUAAGUCAGAUGUGAAAUACCCGGGCUCAACUUGGGUGCUGCAUUUGAAACUGAAUAUCUAGAGUGCGGGAGAGGUAAGUGGAAUUCCUAGUGUAGCGGUGAAAUGCGUAGAGAUUAGGAAGAACACCAGUGGCGAAGGCGACUUACUGGACCGUAACUGACGCUGAGGCAUGAAAGCGUGGGGAGCAAACA